GCACCAGCAGCAGGACCGGGAGGCCCAGCGUGAACCUGGUGGUGGCAGGAGGCUGCAUCUCGACCCCAAGUCUGGAGGAGACCAAGUGGAGGAGCGGAGCGGCUUCUGAACGAACUCAGAUGAGUCUCCUGGAAGACACUUUGACCUUGACAAGUAAUAGGAAACAUCAAACAUUUAAAUGAAGGCUUCCACACUUCAAGGACAAUGACCAUUUCAAGCACCAUCAUUCUUGAAACAAAAUAAGAGGAAAAUUCAAACUCUUUUAGCUUGGUAAGGGCAAGAAUCAUUAUCUUCAGACUUCUGUUUCAAUGAUACAUGCAAGCGUUCUCUGGGUUGUAACUAACAAUAAAGAAACACUUGUCCUGGAUCCCAGAGUGAUGGAAUCUACAACUUCUUUCUGGGAAGAAACUAGCAUCCCUGAUAAAACACUGAAGAUUUUCUGAAUUUAAUGGGAUUAAGACUUGCUCAAGGAUACUGGUCACCUAUCCACCCAACUGUCAGAUAAAAAAAGUCUGGAAGUCACUGAAUCCAGGGGACAGAAUGGUCGCAGACUGGUGGAGCAGAACAUGUGGGAGUUGGUGGUUUCGCAGAUAGGGACCCCAGAUCUCUGCAGUGGAUUACAGAGGCUCUUGUCCCCGGACAAUACCUUCUAGAGAGGAGACCAGGAAGAGGAAAUUUGGAUGCACACAGAGACACCAGGGCUGGACACAGAAGAAAGACCAAGUGAGGACACAGCAAGAAGGAGGCCAUCUGUAAGCCAAGGAGAGAGGUCUCAGGGGAAAACAAAGCUACUGGCACCUUGACCUUGAGCUUUGGGCCUCCACAACUGUGAGAAAAUAAAUUUCCAUUGU
Molecule: long non-coding RNA, 851 nt
Organism: Zalophus californianus (California sea lion)
Lineage: Eukaryota; Metazoa; Chordata; Mammalia; Carnivora; Otariidae
Exons: 5
Source: RefSeq, a predicted model, not a curated record